GGAAAGCAAUUAAAUACUAAAAACGGAGGAAAUCGUGGAGAUGGAAAAAAAAAAAAAAUCACGGAAUCCGUGACACCCAUGACUUCCUUGCCAAACACCCAGCCGUAGCCAGACGCUAACCAAACUUGUUUGAAUCGUGAUGUAGGCUACUUCAUGCACGACUUCCAAGGCCCAUAACUCGGACACUCGAGGGUUUCACUGUCUUCGGCCUUCUUCUGUGUCCAGCACUUGCAUCUCAGCUGGAGAUCUGCAUCCUGGCCCGGACCCGACGGGGCCCAAAGCCCUGAAUGACUUGGCAACCAGGAUACAUUGCUGGAGUUUUGGAAAAAUGUCAGCCCAAGCAAUACCCUCUGAUCUGCUAAGAUAGAUGCUGGACUUCUCUGUAUCCCGAAAGUUGAGUACAAAAGAGCAGACAAAUCUUUCUUUUCCUUUCAUAUUCCUAGACUGCGAGUCAGUCCUGGUCCUACAGGUCAGAGAUGCACCAACUGUGUAGCUGGUUUUAAAGGUGUUCUGAAAAUGCGUCUUAUAUUGUGCAUUAGCUUUUGGUUCAUUUGUGUUGCAUUUUAUGCUUUUAUUCAAAUUCUUUCCUUUAGCCUUGAUUUAUUUGUUUAAUCCUGCUUUUAUUUAUUUCCUUUUAGUGUUUUAGUAUUCUCCCUUUCUAUUUCCCUUUUUUUUUUGUCUUCUUGGAACAAGUGUUAUUAUAAUCUUUGUAUGUCACAUGUUUUCAGUAAACACUAUAUGCUACAAAUAAUUUUUAUGAAAGAUGUUUUAUAAAUACAUAAUAAUAAUACUUAUUAUUGUGUGAUAUAAUAGUGUGUAAAAUAGAUUAUUUAUGGUUAUGGUGAUUAUGAAAAAGAUGUUUUUGAAGAACGGAAUGCUGUUAAAAGACCAAGGGUUAAGGGUGAUGAUUUAAAUGAUUGAAUAUGAUGAUGAUUAAGACAAGUCGAUAAGGAUUAGGUGAAUUAUGGUUGGGAUUGUGAAGACGUUAAUUACUGAGAUGAGGAUAAUGAAACGGGUCAAAAUCGCAUUUCAUGACAAUUAAUUCAGCCAUAUCUUUUCUCAUUUAUUUUCUUGA
This is a long non-coding RNA of Anguilla anguilla (European eel), 1075 nucleotides long. RefSeq lists it as uncharacterized. NCBI's taxonomy places the organism in Eukaryota, Metazoa, Chordata, Actinopteri, Anguilliformes, Anguillidae. The transcript has 3 exons. The record is from RefSeq and is a predicted model, not a curated record.